This 253-nucleotide ribosomal RNA is filed under the name uncultured bacterium. RNAcentral's name for it is "partial 16S ribosomal RNA". It matches the Rfam family "Bacterial small subunit ribosomal RNA", at positions 524 to 776 of the family's 1533-position model. The record is from RNAcentral.
UACGUAGGGUGCAAGCGUUAAUCGGAAUUACUGGGCGUAAAGCGUGCGCAGGCGGUUAUGUAAGACAGGUGUGAAAUCCCCGGGCUUAACCUGAGAACUGCAUUUGUGACUGCAUAGCUAGAGUACGGUAGAGGGGGAUGGAAUUCCGCGUGUAGCAGUGAAAUGCGUAGAUAUGCGGAGGAACACCGAUGGCGAAGGCAAUCCCCUGGACCUGUACUGACGCUCAUGCACGAAAGCGUGGGGAGCAAACAGG